Molecule: ribosomal RNA, 497 nt
Filed under: uncultured bacterium
Lineage: Bacteria
Description: partial 16S ribosomal RNA
Rfam family: Bacterial small subunit ribosomal RNA
Source: RNAcentral
GAUGAACGCUGGCGGCGUGCCUAAUACAUGCAAGUCGAGCGAACGGACGAGAAGCUUGCUUCUCUGAUGUUAGCGGCGGACGGGUGAGUAACACGUGGAUAACCUACCUAUAAGACUGGGAUAACUUCGGGAAACCGGAGCUAAUAUCGGAUAAUAUUUUGAACCGCAUGGUUCAAAAGUGAAAGACGGUCUUGCUGUCACUUAUAGAUGGAUCCGCGCUGCAUUAGCUAGUUGGUAAGGUAACGGCUUACCAAGGCAACGAUGCAUAGCCGACCUGAGGGGGUGAUCGGCCACACUGGAACUGAGACACGGUCCAGACUCCUACGGGAGGCAGCAGUAGGGAAUCUUCCGCAAUGGGCGAAAGCCUGACGGAGCAACGCCGCGUGAGUGAUGAAGGUCUUCGGAUCGUAAAACUCUGUUAUUAGGGAAGAACAUAUGUGUAAGUAACUGUGCACAUCUUGACGGUACCUAAUCAGAAAGCCACGGCUAACUACGUG